This 867-nucleotide ribosomal RNA is filed under the name uncultured Kocuria sp. RNAcentral describes it as "bacterial SSU rRNA". It matches the Rfam family "Bacterial small subunit ribosomal RNA", at positions 41 to 916 of the family's 1533-position model. The record is from RNAcentral. Lineage: Bacteria; Bacillati; Actinomycetota; Actinomycetes; Micrococcales; Micrococcaceae.
GGCGUGCUUACACAUGCAAGUCGAACGCUGAAGCACCAGCUUGCUGGUGUGGAUGAGUGGCGAACGGGUGAGUAAUACGUGAGUAACCUGCCCUUGACUCUGGGAUAAGCCCGGGAAACUGGGUCUAAUACUGGAUGCUACAUGUCACCGCAUGGUGGUGUGUGGAAAGGGUUUACUGGUCUUGGAUGGGCUCACGGCCUAUCAGCUUGUUGGUGAGGUAAUGGCUCACCAAGGCGACGACGGGUAGCCGGCCUGAGAGGGUGACCGGCCACACUGGGACUGAGACACGGCCCAGACUCCUACGGGAGGCAGCAGUGGGGAAUAUUGCACAAUGGGCGAAAGCCUGAUGCAGCGACGCCGCGUGAGGGAUGACGGCCUUCGGGUUGUAAACCUCUUUCAGCAGGGAAGAAGCCACAAGUGACGGUACCUGCAGAAGAAGCGCCGGCUAACUACGUGCCAGCAGCCGCGGUAAUACGUAGGGCGCAAGCGUUGUCCGGAAUUAUUGGGCGUAAAGAGCUCGUAGGCGGUUUGUCGCGUCUGCUGUGAAAGCCCGGGGCUUAACCCCGGGUGUGCAGUGGGUACGGGCAGACUAGAGUGCAGUAGGGGAGACUGGAAUUCCUGGUGUAGCGGUGGAAUGCGCAGAUAUCAGGAGGAACACCGAUGGCGAAGGCAGGUCUCUGGGCUGUUACUGACGCUGAGGAGCGAAAGCAUGGGGAGCGAACAGGAUUAGAUACCCUGGUAGUCCAUGCCGUAAACGUUGGGCACUAGGUGUGGGGGACAUUCCACGUUUUCCGCGCCGUAGCUAACGCAUUAAGUGCCCCGCCUGGGGAGUACGGCCGCAAGGCUAAAACUCAAAGGAAUUGACGG